GGGUUGUGAGGUUAAGCGACUAAGCGUACACGGUGGAUGCCCUGGCAGUCAGAGGCGAUGAAGGACGUGCUAAUCUGCGAAAAGCGUCGGUAAGGUGAUAUGAACCGUUAUAACCGGCGAUGUCCGAAUGGGGAAACCCAGUGCAAUUCGUUGCACUAUCGUUAACUGAAUACAUAGGUUAACGAGGCGAACCGGGGGAACUGAAACAUCUAAGUACCCCGAGGAAAAGAAAUCAACCGAGAUUCCCCCAGUAGCGGCGAGCGAACGGGGAGCAGCCCAGAGUCUGAAUCAGCUUGUGUGUUAGUGGAACGGUCUGGAAAGUCCGACGGUACAGGGUGAUAGUCCCGUACACCAAAAUGCACAGGUUGUGAACUCGAAGAGUAGGGCGGGACACGUGGUAUCCUGUCUGAAUAUGGGGGGACCAUCCUCCAAGGCUAAAUACUCCUGACUGACCGAUAGUGAACCAGUACCGUGAGGGAAAGGCGAAAAGAACCCCGGCGAGGGGAGUGAAAAAGAACCUGAAACCGUGUACGUACAAGCAGUGGGAGCACCUUCGGGUGUGACUGCGUACCUUUUGUAUAAUGGGUCAGCGACUUAUAUUCUGUAGCAAGGUUAACCGUAUAGGGGAGCCGCAGGGAAACCGAGUCUUAACUGGGCGUUAAGUUGCAGGGUAUAGACCCGAAACCCGGUGAUCUAGCCAUGGGCAGGUUGAAGGUUGGGUAACACUAACUGGAGGACCGAACCGACUAAUGUUGAAAAAUUAGCGGAUGACUUGUGGCUGGGGGUGAAAGGCCAAUCAAACCGGGAGAUAGCUGGUUCUCCCCGAAAGCUAUUUAGGUAGCGCCUCGUGAACUCAUCUUCGGGGGUAGAGCACUGUUUCGGCUAGGGGGUCAUCCCGACUUACCAACCCGAUGCAAACUACGAAUACCGAAGAAUGUUAUCACGGGAGACACACGGCGGGUGCUAACGUCCGUCGUGAAGAGGGAAACAACCCAGACCGCCAGCUAAGGUCCCAAAGUCAUGGUUAAGUGGGAAACGAUGUGGGAAGGCACAGACAGCCAGGAUGUUGGCUUAGAAGCAGCCAUCAUUUAAAGAAAGCGUAAUAGCUCACUGGUCGAGUCGGCCUGCGCGGAAGAUGUAACGGGGCUAAACCAUGCACCGAAGCUGCGGCAGCGACACUAUGUGUUGUUGGGUAGGGGAGCGUUCUGUAAGCCUGUGAAGGUGACCUGUGAGGGUUGCUGGAGGUAUCAGAAGUGCGAAUGCUGACAUAAGUAACGAUAAAGCGGGUGAAAAGCCCGCUCGCCGGAAGACCAAGGGUUCCUGUCCAACGUUAAUCGGGGCAGGGUGAGUCGACCCCUAAGGCGAGGCCGAAAGGCGUAGUCGAUGGGAAACAGGUUAAUAUUCCUGUACUUGGUGUUACUGCGAAGGGGGGACGGAGAAGGCUAUGUUAGCCGGGCGACGGUUGUCCCGGUUUAAGCAUGUAGGCUGAUUGUCCAGGCAAAUCCGGAUAAUCAAGGCUGAGGUGUGAUGACGAGGCACUACGGUGCUGAAGUAACAAAUGCCCUGCUUCCAGGAAAAGCCUCUAAGCAUCAGGUAACAUUAAAUCGUACCCCAAACCGACACAGGUGGUCAGGUAGAGAAUACCAAGGCGCUUGAGAGAACUCGGGUGAAGGAACUAGGCAAAAUGGUGCCGUAACUUCGGGAGAAGGCACGCUGGUGUGUAGGUGAAGCCCCUGCGGGUGGAGCUGAGACCAGUCGAAGAUACCAGCUGGCUGCAACUGUUUAUUAAAAACACAGCACUGUGCAAACACGAAAGUGGACGUAUACGGUGUGACGCCUGCCCGGUGCCGGAAGGUUAAUUGAUGGGGUUAUCCGUAAGGAGAAGCUCUUGAUCGAAGCCCCGGUAAACGGCGGCCGUAACUAUAACGGUCCUAAGGUAGCGAAAUUCCUUGUCGGGUAAGUUCCGACCUGCACGAAUGGCGUAAUGAUGGCCAGGCUGUCUCCACCCGAGACUCAGUGAAAUUGAACUCGCUGUGAAGAUGCAGUGUACCCGCGGCAAGACGGAAAGACCCCGUGAACCUUUACUAUAGCUUGACACUGAACAUUGAGCCUUGAUGUGUAGGAUAGGUGGGAGGCUUUGAAGCGUGGACGCCAGUCUGCGUGGAGCCAACCUUGAAAUACCACCCUUUAAUGUUUGAUGUUCUAACGUUGGCCCCUGACCGGGGUUGCGGACAGUGUCUGGUGGGUAGUUUGACUGGGGCGGUCUCCUCCCAAAGCGUAACGGAGGAGCACGAAGGUUAGCUAAUCCUGGUCGGACAUCAGGAGGUUAGUGCAAUGGCAUAAGCUAGCUUGACUGCGAGCGUGACGGCGCGAGCAGGUGCGAAAGCAGGUCAUAGUGAUCCGGUGGUUCUGAAUGGAAGGGCCAUCGCUCAACGGAUAAAAGGUACUCCGGGGAUAACAGGCUGAUACCGCCCAAGAGUUCAUAUCGACGGCGGUGUUUGGCACCUCGAUGUCGGCUCAUCACAUCCUGGGGCUGAAGUAGGUCCCAAGGGUAUGGCUGUUCGCCAUUUAAAGUGGUACGCGAGCUGGGUUUAGAACGUCGUGAGACAGUUCGGUCCCUAUCUGCCGUGGGCGCUGGAGAAUGGAGGGGGGCUGCUCCUAGUACGAGAGGACCGGAGUGGACGCAUCACUGGUGUUCGGGUUGUCAUGCCAAUGGCACUGCCCGGUAGCUAAAUGCGGAAGAGAUAAGUGCUGAAAGCAUCUAAGCACGAAACUUGCCCCGAGAUGAGUUCUCCCUGAGACUNUAAGUCUCCUGAAGGAACGUUAAAGACGAUGACGUUGAUAGGCCGGGUGUGUAAGCGCAGCGAUGCGUUGAGCUAACCGGUACUAAUGAACCGUGAGGCUUAACCUUACAACGCCGAAG
Molecule: ribosomal RNA, 2923 nt
Filed under: Klebsiella pneumoniae subsp. pneumoniae
Lineage: Bacteria; Pseudomonadati; Pseudomonadota; Gammaproteobacteria; Enterobacterales; Enterobacteriaceae
Description: bacterial LSU rRNA
Rfam family: Bacterial large subunit ribosomal RNA
Source: RNAcentral